AUAUUGUAUAUAGAAGUAACAAUUUACUGGUGCAGGUUCCAUUCUUUUCAACAUAGAAUAAGAAUAUGAGAAUAUAUGUAUUAUUCCAAUCAAGGGCCCUUGAUGGGCAGCAUAACAUGUGCACAUAACACAAUACAUCAUGAUUUGUAACAGAAAAACAUUGUUAUUAACUAAAAUGAAACAUUGAAAAAAAAAAGAAAAGUUCAGACAGAUGUUAUUAUCUUCAUUCUUUAAAAUCAUAUACAUUUAAUUCCAGGCAGGAUCAGAACCAUAAAAUCAUUACAAUUAUCAUUGUUAUUACAUAUACAUAUGAAUUUUUAAAUAGUCUGUCAGAUAUAGUUUACAAUGAUGCAAGUAGAAUGUAUGGUGUGAAAUAUAUUUUUCUAAUAUGGAAUAAUUGUCCAACCAUUUACACAAAUUUAGGUAUAAAAAGUUUUAAAACAUUUUAUGUGUGAAAGGUAUUACUACAUUUUAUUAAUUUAUAUUUGUUUUGUGAUAGAGUAGUUAACGCUCA
RNAcentral lists this long non-coding RNA (514 nucleotides) under Mytilus galloprovincialis (Mediterranean mussel). Lineage: Eukaryota; Metazoa; Mollusca; Bivalvia; Mytilida; Mytilidae. The record is from RNAcentral.